Molecule: ribosomal RNA, 476 nt
Filed under: uncultured bacterium
Lineage: Bacteria
Description: partial 16S ribosomal RNA
Rfam family: Bacterial small subunit ribosomal RNA
Source: RNAcentral
UAGGGAAUCCUUCCACAAUGGACGCAAGUCUGAUGGAGCAACGCCGCGUGAGUGAAGAAGGUUUUCGGACCGUAAAGCUCUGUUGUUGGUGAAGAAGGAUAGAGGUAGUAACUGGCCUUUAUUUGACGGUAAUCAACCAGAAAGUCACGGCUAACUACGUGCCAGCAGCCGCGGUAAUACGUAGGUGGCAAGCGUUGUCCGGAUUUAUUGGGCGUAAAGCGAGCGCAGGCGGAAGAAUAAGUCUGAUGUGAAAGCCCUCGGCUUAACCGAGGAAUUGCAUCGGAAACUGUUUUCUUGAGUGCAGAAGAGGAGAGUAGAACUCCAUGUGUAGCGGUGGAAUGCGUAGAUAUAUGGAAGAAUACCAGUGGCGAAGGCGGCUCUCUGGUCUGCAACUGACGCUGAGGCUCGAAAGCAUGGGUAGCGAACAGGAUUAGAUACCCUGGUAGUCCAUGCCGUAAACGAUGAGUGCUAAGUGU